Molecule: ribosomal RNA, 253 nt
Filed under: uncultured bacterium
Lineage: Bacteria
Description: partial 16S ribosomal RNA
Rfam family: Bacterial small subunit ribosomal RNA
Source: RNAcentral
UACGAAGGGGGCUAGCGUUAAUCGGAAUUACUGGGCGUAAAGCGUGCGCAGGCGGUUUUGUAAGUCUGUCGUGAAAGCCCCGGGCUCAACCUGGGAAUUGCGAUGGAGACUGCAAGGCUUGAAUCUGGCAGAGGGGGGUAGAAUUCCACGUGUAGCAGUGAAAUGCGUAGAUAUGUGGAGGAACACCGAUGGCGAAGGCAGCCCCCUGGGUUAACACUGACGCUCAUGCACGAAAGCGUGGGGAGCAAACAGG